Long non-coding RNA from Rhagoletis pomonella (apple maggot), 371 nucleotides. RefSeq lists it as uncharacterized. The transcript is spliced from 2 exons. The record is from RefSeq and is a predicted model, not a curated record. NCBI's taxonomy places the organism in Eukaryota, Metazoa, Arthropoda, Insecta, Diptera, Tephritidae.
GUUCGUUCCAUAAAUUUUGGUCGAAGCUUCUUUGGAACGUCUUGAAUUUUUUCGGAGCAAAAAAGUUGUUCUACAUAAAACUACUAAAAAAUAUAAAUAUUGUUUUCACCGGUUUAUAGACGUUCAGAUUUCAUUCGACUCUUGCUGCAGAGUACAAUUGGCUUCCUUACCCGUAUGGUAACCUUUGGAGUCAACAUAUUAUUUUGGGGUUGAAAAUGACAUCAUCUUGAUAACGCGCAUGCGCAGAUCAUUGGUUAUUAUGCUGGGAAAAUUAUUGAUUACUGGACAUAUGCAUACAGCGCAGAGAGAGUGGAAAUGUACGCACUUACGGUCGGUAAAAGAUAUUGGCAGCUGAAAAUAAAUAUUUUUUU